GAUGAACGCUGGCGGCGUGCCUAAUACAUGCAAGUCGAGCGAACGGACGAGAAGCUUGCUUCUCUGAUGUUAGCGGCGGACGGGUGAGUAACACGUGGAUAACCUACCUAUAAGACUGGGAUAACUUCGGGAAACCGUAGCUAAUACCGGAUAAUAUUUUGAACCGCAUGGUUCAAAAGUGAAAGACGGUCUUGCUGUCACUUAUAGAUGGAUCCGCGCUGCAUUAGCUAGUUGGUAAGGUAACGGCUUACCAAGGCAACGAUGCAUAGCCGACCUGAGAGGGUGAUCGGCCACACUGGAGCUGAGACACGGUCCAGACUCCUACGGGAGGCAGCAGUAGGGAAUCUGCCGCAAUGGGCGAAAGCCUGACGGAGCAACGCCGCGUGAGUGAUGAAGGUCUUCGGAUCGUAAAACUCUGUUAUUAGGGAAGAACAUAUGUGUAAGUAACUGUGCACAUCUUGACGGUACCUAAUCAGAAAGCCACGGCUAACUACGUG
RNAcentral lists this ribosomal RNA (497 nucleotides) under uncultured bacterium. RNAcentral's name for it is "partial 16S ribosomal RNA". It matches the Rfam family "Bacterial small subunit ribosomal RNA", at positions 28 to 507 of the family's 1533-position model. The record is from RNAcentral.